Molecule: long non-coding RNA, 1088 nt
Organism: Pogoniulus pusillus (Red-fronted tinkerbird)
Lineage: Eukaryota; Metazoa; Chordata; Aves; Piciformes; Lybiidae
Exons: 3
Source: RefSeq, a predicted model, not a curated record
CGCCGGUCACGUCGGCAAGUCUGGGCCUCGCCGCACCGCCCGCUCCCCCCGCGGUGCCGCCGGCGCCUCGGGGUCGGCCGGCCGGGCUGGGAGCGCCGGCAGCCCGCUCAGCUAAAUCGGGCUCUCUGUCUCUGCCUGGCGUCCUCUCCCGUCCCGCUGGCGUGUGCCUUCCCCGCACAAACGAGUGAAAAAGGCUGCUGCAGGUGCAAAGGGAUGAGAGAACGCUGGCUCAUAUCAGUAUAAAAACAAUGAAGAGUGUCUCACCGAAGUGAUCCAGCUCCCAGAAUAACCUCUCGCCAUGCUCUGUUGAUCCCAGCAAUCAGCAAUGCACUAGGGCUUUACCUCAGAACUUCGAUCUUCCUUUAAACAGUGGAAAAUGGAGAAGAGUGAUCAUGGAAUCAUAGAAUCACAGAACGUCAGGGGCUGGAAGAGACCCUGAAAGCUUAUCCAGUCCAACCCCCCUGGCAGAGCAGGAUCACCUGGAGCAGAUCACACAGGAACACGUCCAGGCAGAUUUUAAAUAUCUCCAGAUAUUUUAAAUAUUUAGAUAUUUAAAUAUCUCCAGAGAGGGAGACUCCACAACCCCCCUGGGCAGCCUGUUCCAAUGUUCUGUCACCCUCACAGGGAAAAAAGUCCUCAUGUUUAAAUGAAACUUCCUAUGCCUCAGCUUCCUCCCCUCGUCCUGUCAUCAGGCAUCACUGAGCAGCACCUGGCUCCAGCCUCCUGGCACUCACCCUGCACGUAUUUAUAGCCACUGAUGAGGUCACCUUUCAGUCUCCUUUUCUCCAAGCAGCACAGCUCCAGAUUCCGUGGUCUCUCCUAGUAAGAGAGAUGUUUCAUUCCCUUCAUCAUCUUUGUGGCUCUGUGCUGGAAUGUCUCAAGCAGUUCUGUGUCCCUCUUGAACUGGGGGGCCCACAGCUGGACACAGUACUCCAGAUGUGGUUUCACCAGGGAUGAGGAAAAGGGCAGUGCAGGAAAAAGGAAGACUGCCAGAAGAUACUCUGCUAUUUUCAACCCCGACGCUUCAAAGCUCGACAGGUCAAACAAGCCCUGUCUGAAAGUGAUGAAGGUCCCCGUCGCUCUCAGCG